AUGGCGAAACCAAACCGCAACGCCGCGCCUCCCACACAACAACAACAUACGCAACAAUCGGUUACUACACCACCAAGGCUCCAGAGUACCACCCCAACUUAUAUGCCCCGAGUUAAUACACAGAAGCCCUGAAGUAUAACUCUGCCCCGAGCUACACCACCAAAGAGCUGGAUUACUACACCGAGGCCCCCAAGUACUACACCACUAAGCCACCGGAUUAUGAUACCAUAACUUACGCUUCCCCAAGCUACAACACCGAUGCCCCGAAUUAUUACUCUGCCUCGAGCUACACCACCAAGGCAGCGGAGCGGACUACGUAUGCUGCCCUUUUUUACUACACCGAGACUCCCAAGUACUACUGUGUUCCCAGCUACCACACCGAGGCUCCAGCUACCACAUCGAGGCCCCAGCUACCACACCGAGGCUCCAGCUAAUUUCUCGACCCAAACGGUCGAAUACUACACCGAAGCACCCAAAUACUACUCUGCCACGAUCUACACAGCCACAACUGAGGCGGUCAAGCAUUACGCAGCCCCGACUUACUACACAGAAGCUACUCCUUCCUACUACGUUGAACAGAAAUUCUACACUGAUGCUCCAGUUUACUACACCCCAACCUACGCUACAUUUAGCAACAACACCGAAGCCCCCAAGUACUACAUCGAAGAAGCAUCAUAUUACACAACCACGUACGCUGUCCCACUUUAGUACACCGAGGAACUCAAGUAUUACUCUGCUCCAAGCUACUACCAAACUAAGGCAUUAAACCGCUAAUUACGCUAAUCCGACCUAUACACCGAAGUUGCAAAGUAUUCCUCUGCCUUGAGGUACUACACUACUAAGGCACCAACAUAUUACACCUCAACCUACGCUUAUGUAGCUGAUUACAAGGAGACUUCUGAAUGCUAGAGCUGAAUUUUAAUUUGAUUAUCUGUGUCGGGAUUUGUGUUCAGAUUUUUCGGUUAUUGUUAUUAGUUGCUAGUCACCGAUAUUUGAUUGUGGAUGUUUAAUGAGCAAAUAAAGAUUUACUUGCGGGUAACCAUCUUGUAAGACCUUAAAUAUUUUUAAACCUUUUGACAAUGCGACAGAUGUUCCUAUUUUGGAGGUAACUACUUCUCUAGUCGCUCUUCAUACGGACAUAUCCUGGUCUUUGGACGAAAUUCUUUUUCAGGGAUGGCGUAACAAAGGAGUUCAUGGCAGACAUUGUGUUUGGCCCCUUCACAAAACCUUAUUCAAAGAGAGAUGCCUUUAUAAGUAAUAGCCAAGUGUCUUUAUGCAUGAAUGUAAAACUUCAAGAUCGAACAAAUAUAAUGUUUUAUUUGCU
Molecule: long non-coding RNA, 1324 nt
Organism: Daphnia pulicaria
Lineage: Eukaryota; Metazoa; Arthropoda; Branchiopoda; Diplostraca; Daphniidae
Exons: 3
Source: RefSeq, a predicted model, not a curated record